Plasmodium vivax (malaria parasite P. vivax) is the source of this 72-nucleotide non-coding RNA. NCBI's taxonomy places the organism in Eukaryota, Apicomplexa, Aconoidasida, Haemosporida, Plasmodiidae. The record is from the annotation of a RefSeq genome assembly.
UUCGUUCGAGAUGUCAUUUGCUGCAUCAUGUUGGUUGUGUGUCACGGGAUUUAUAUUCGUUGCACUGAUUGG